This 227-nucleotide ribosomal RNA is filed under the name uncultured prokaryote. RNAcentral's name for it is "partial 16S ribosomal RNA". It matches the Rfam family "Bacterial small subunit ribosomal RNA", at positions 524 to 750 of the family's 1533-position model. The record is from RNAcentral.
UACGUAGGGUGCAAGCGUUAAUCGGAAUUACUGGGCGUAAAGCGUGCGCAGGCGGUUUGUUAAGUCAGCUGUGAAAUCCCCGGGCUUAACCUGGGAAUGGCAGUUGAGACUGGCAGGCUAGAGUGUGUCAGAGGGGGGUAGAAUUCCACGUGUAGCAGUGAAAUGCGUAGAGAUGUGGAGGAACACCGAUGGCGAAGGCAGCCCCCUGGGAUAACACUGACGCUCAU